This 497-nucleotide ribosomal RNA is filed under the name uncultured bacterium. RNAcentral's name for it is "partial 16S ribosomal RNA". It matches the Rfam family "Bacterial small subunit ribosomal RNA", at positions 28 to 507 of the family's 1533-position model. The record is from RNAcentral.
GAUGAACGCUGGCGGCGUGCCUAAUACAUGCAAGUCGAGCGAACAGACGAGGAGCUUGCUCCUUUGACGUUAGCGGCGGACGGGUGAGUAACACGUAGGUAACCUACCUAUAAGACUGGGAUAACUUCGGGAAACCGGAGCUAAUACCGGAUAAUAUUUCGAACCGCAUGGUUCGAUAGUGAAAGAUGGCUUUGCUAUCACUUAUAGAUGGACCUGCGCCGUAUUAGCUAGUUGGUAAGGUAACGGCUUACCAAGGCAACGAUACGUAGCCGACCUGAGAGGGUGAUCGGCCACACUGGAACUGAGACACGGUCCAGACUCCUACGGGAGGCAGCAGUAGGGAGUCUUCCGCAAUGGGCGAAAGCCUGACGGAGCAACGCCGCGUGAGUGAUGAAGGUCUUCGGAUCGUAAAACUCUGUUAUUAGGGAAGAACAAACGUGUAAGUAACUGUGCACGUCUUGACGGUACCUAAUCAGAAAGCCACGGCUAACUACGUG